AACCAGUUGCAGAGAGAGAUAGAUACCUUUCAGAGGGUAGGAUCCAAAGGCUCUCAAAAUGAGGAAGCCAGAUGCCUGUGGGAACUACAACAACAAUAAUAACAAGCUUAGAAAGGGAUUAUGGUCACCAGAGGAAGAUGACAAGCUUAUGAACUACAUGCUAAACAAUGGACAGGGUUGUUGGAGUGAUGUGGCAAGAAAUGCUGGCUUGCAGAGGUGUGGCAAGAGUUGUCGUCUUCGCUGGAUCAAUUACUUAAGGCCUGACCUCAAGAGAGGUGCAUUUUCACCCCAGGAAGAAGAGCUCAUCAUUUAUUUGCAUUCCAUUCUUGGCAACAGGUACCUUCCAUGCCUUGCCUAAUUUAAUUGCCUUUUUUUUUAGUAAAUUUCUGAGCAUUAAUUACUUUGGCCCGUAGACUUUCUCCGUUCAUGUAUAUCUGAAUUUUUAUUUUUAUGAAAAUAAUGUACAUGCAAUGAUUUCAUUAAAAUUAAUUAAUUUUCUUGCGUUUGUAUAUCAAAGAUGGUCACAAAUAGCGGCUCGCUUGCCUGGACGCACAGACAAUGAAAUCAAGAAUUUUUGGAAUUCAACGAUAAAGAAAAGACUGAAGAAUAUGUCCUCCAUAGCCUCACCAAACACUAGUGAUUCUUCCUCAGAGCCAAGCAAAGAAGUAGCAGCAGCAGCAGCAAUAGGAGGAGGGUUCAUCUCCAUGCAAGAACAAGGCAUGGGGUACAUAGACCCGUCAUUAUCAUCUUCAUCAUCAUCAAACACAUCCAUGCAAGCUAUGUUUCUGAAUCGAAUGAUGGACUCGUUACCUACCUUCGAUCAUGGCCUAAGUAUGUACGGUGCAAGUGUAUACUUCAAUAAUGAUGCAUCCCCAUGCAUGACUCAGAUAGUAAAUACUAGUGAUGAUGAUUUAUAUGGGAAUCGAGGAAGCACUAAGGAAAAUGCUAAAACUGAAGAUAAAGCAAUAUAUGGUAACAACACCAAUAAGUACAUGUAUAGCAAUGUGAAUAGAAUUAACAGCAGCUGCAAUAACAAUAAUCAGGAAGCGAAUAUGGCUGCUGGGAUUGGGAACUUAUGGCAAGGAGAAGAUCUAAAAGUGGGGGAGUGGGACUUGGAAGAGUUGAUGAAAGAAGUUUCCUCCUUUCCUUUUCUUGAUUUUUCGAGUUGAAUAAAUUGGGUUUUCCUCAUAAAUUUUCUUCCUUCAAUUUUCCAAUUCAUUCCCUUCUUUUCCUACUAUACAUAAACGACCUUGUGUAGCCUUUCUGAAAAACUAUACUAAAAAUAUCCUAGUUACGUUGGUCCCUCAAACCCUCACAUAUCAUGUUUUGUGUAUAAUUUAGGUGCGGUAUAUACAUAUGUAGAAGAAGAAACUGGGCCCUGGAAUGUUCAAAGAAUAAAAGGUCACUAUAUUGAUGGCCUAAGAAACUAUUGUAUGAAUGUAACUUGUCCUUGCUAUAUGUCAAUUUUCAAGCAUUCAAAUAGCCCAAUAUGGUGGAAUAUCUAUAUGUAUGAAUUGAUGUAUGCAUUCAAAAAUUAAGUAGAUGGAAAGGGACUGGCCUCAAGAGAUUGAUUAAUUAGUUGGUGCAUGUUUAGCUUUAGUUAGCAUUAGAUGUACAAAACACAAAUGGGUGGAAAAGUUGUUGUUAGUGGGGAGAUAAGAUAAGAAGAUCUUGUACUAAACAUUGACAACGUAUUGAAAUUCUGUGUCUCUAUGAUCUCAACCUUCUCCAAAAGGAAAAUUUUUUUGUUUUUGGGAAUAAAUCAUUAUUGUUACUUGUAAAGAGGUUCAAUUGUUUAGCUGAGAUGUCCACUUGGAUCAGCAAUUAUUGUUUACAUA
Molecule: unclassified non-coding RNA, 1838 nt
Filed under: Hevea brasiliensis (rubber tree)
Lineage: Eukaryota; Viridiplantae; Streptophyta; Magnoliopsida; Malpighiales; Euphorbiaceae
Source: RNAcentral